This 429-nucleotide ribosomal RNA is filed under the name Verrucomicrobiota bacterium. RNAcentral's name for it is "Verrucomicrobia bacterium partial 16S ribosomal RNA". It matches the Rfam family "Bacterial small subunit ribosomal RNA", at positions 355 to 776 of the family's 1533-position model. Lineage: Bacteria; Pseudomonadati; Verrucomicrobiota. The record is from RNAcentral.
UAGGGAAUCUUCCGCAAUGGACGAAAGUCUGACGGAGCAACGCCGCGUGAGUGAAGAAGGAUUUCGGUUCGUAAAACUCUGUUGUUAGGGAAGAAAAAAUGUAUAGUAACUAUAUACAAAAGAGACGGUACCUAACCAGAAAGCCACGGCUAACUACGUGCCAGCAGCCACGGUAAUACGUAGGUGGCAAGCGUUGUCCGGAAUUAUUGGGCGUAAAGCGCGCGCAGGUGGUUUAGAAAGUCUGAUGUGAAAGCCCACGGCUCAACCGUGGAGGGUCAUUGGAAACUAAUAAACUUGAGUGCAGGAGAGAAAAGUGGAAUUCCUAGUGUAGCGGUGAAAUGCGUAGAGAUUAGGAGGAACACCGGUGGCGAAAGCGGCUUUUUGGCCUGCAACUGACACUGAGGCGCGAAAGCGUGGGGAGCAAACAGG